CUCGGAGUUUGAUCCUGGCUCAGAUUGAACGCUGGCGGCGUGCUUUACACAUGCAAGUCGAGGGGUAUAGUUCUUCGGAACUAGAGACCGGCGCACGGGUGCGUAACGCGUAUGCAAUCUACCUUUUACAGAGGGAUAGCCCAGAGAAAUUUGGAUUAAUACCUCAUAGUAUGUGAGAAUCGCAUGGUUUUCACAUUAAAGUUCCAACGGUAAAAGAUGAGCAUGCGUCCCAUUAGCUAGAUGGUAAGUAACGGCUUACCAUGGCGACGAUGGGUAGGGGUCCUGAGAGGGAGAUCCCCCACACUGGUACUGAGACACGGCCCAGACUCCGUACGGGAGGCAGCGAGUGGGGAAUAUUGGACAAUGGGCGAAAGCCUGAUCCAGCAAUGCCGCGUGAGUGAU
Molecule: ribosomal RNA, 402 nt
Filed under: uncultured Flavobacteriaceae bacterium
Lineage: Bacteria; Pseudomonadati; Bacteroidota; Flavobacteriia; Flavobacteriales; Flavobacteriaceae
Description: bacterial SSU rRNA
Rfam family: Bacterial small subunit ribosomal RNA
Source: RNAcentral